CCCAGAAGCCAGACUGAGAAAGAAAAGCAUAAAGGACACGCAACAGCAUGAUGCCUGAGCAAGGAAUGUGGAUGGAGAAGGGAAUAUUGGACAAGGUCAGGACCGCCACUUCUAGAGAAAUGUGAUACCGGGACAAGAUAUGACUAAAAAUGUCUGCAGAGCAGCAGAGAGUGCCUACCUCAAGCAAGAGGACAUUUCUGACAUAAUGUUUAUAUCUUCCAUUGCACUUAUUACAGUGCUAGCGAUAUAACACAUACCCAGCAGAAGGUUGAUAGCAUAUAAACAACUACAUUUUCAACUUGGCCUUUAUGAUGUCCCUGCUUCUGGAUUUUGUUUAGUUCUUCUGCUAUUUUCCAG
This 357-nucleotide long non-coding RNA is filed under the name Homo sapiens (human). RNAcentral's name for it is "non-protein coding lnc-GRIA3-1:1". The record is from RNAcentral. Lineage: Eukaryota; Metazoa; Chordata; Mammalia; Primates; Hominidae.